AACGAACGCUGGCGGCAUGCCUAACACAUGCAAGUCGAACGAUGCCUUCGGGCAUAGUGGCGCACGGGUGCGUAACGCGUGGGAAUCUGCCCUUGGGUUCGGAAUAACUCAGAGAAAUUUGAGCUAAUACCGGAUGAUGACGUAAGUCCAAAGAUUUAUCGCCCAAGGAUGAGCCCGCGUAAGAUUAGCUAGUUGGUGGGGUAAAGGCCUACCAAGGCGACGAUCUUUAGCUGGUCUGAGAGGAUGAUCAGCCACACUGGGACUGAGACACGGCCCAGACUCCUACGGGAGGCAGCAGUGGGGGAAUAUUGGACAAUGGGCGAAAGCCUGAUCCAGCAAUGCCGCGUGAGUGAUGAAGGCCUUAGGGUGUAAAGCUCUUUUACCAGGGAUGAUAAUGACAGUACCU
Molecule: ribosomal RNA, 406 nt
Filed under: uncultured bacterium
Lineage: Bacteria
Description: bacterial SSU rRNA
Rfam family: Bacterial small subunit ribosomal RNA
Source: RNAcentral